UACAUGUGACUGGGCAGGCUUAGGGCACUUCUAGGGCCUAUGGGAAGAAAAAACUCUGGAAGUGCAGUCUAGCUAGAAUGCUAACUCCAAGCCUGAGUAAGAACGACAAGUCCACAGAGUGGAAGAGUAUUUAGCAAUAAGAAGAAAUGAACUACCAAGCCACAAAAAAGACAUAGAAAGACCUUAAAUGCUUAUUGUUAAGUGAAAGAAGCCAAUCCCAAAAGGCCACAUAGUGUAUAAUUCCAAUUCUAAAUACUCUGGAAAAGGCAGAAGACGGAGAUAGUGAAAAGGGCUGAAGAAAAAUAACCCCCGACCUAGAAUUCUGAACCCAGGUAAACCGACAGCCAAACGUGCGGGAGAAAUAAAGCCGUUCCGGAUGCACACCACCUAGGCGCAUGUAUUAGAGCGGAGCCUCCCUGAAGGAGCAGCCAGAGAGAGCGAAGGGGAAGCCGGGGACACCCUGCGCCGCCGCAGCCUCCUCUGGCCCCAGCGGAAGGCGCCCUCGGUUACUAGGUCCUUCCUCGGGAAGCCCGCAGGCAUCUCCAGCCGCGCGCAGUCCUGGGCGCUCCCGCCGCCGCCCACCGAGGCACAGGCGCCUUCUCCGUGAGCCGGGCCCCAGGCACCGCCACUCAGCUCUGCGACGGCCCCGUGCGGCCCCAGCCCGCCCUCGCCUCCUCACCCUGGGGAGCCACCUGUCCACUUCGGAGCUGCUGUCACAGCCCCACCAGCUCCGGCGCUGGGAUUAUAGGCGUGAGCCACCGCGCCCAUUCCCCCAUCACUUGUUAUUCCCUUGCUCAGUUUUCAUAACAGUCCUUAUUAGGUAUGCAUUAGAGUAAUACCGAAUUUUGUCAAUGAUGCUCUCCCUCCCUAGGAUGGAAGCCCCAUGAAGGCAGACACUUCAUCUGUCUUGUUCUAUGUGCCGGGUGCUUACUCACCAAUCAAAAGUAUUUGUUGAAUAAAUGGAUGAAUAAACAGUAAACAAAGA
This is a long non-coding RNA of Symphalangus syndactylus (siamang), 985 nucleotides long. RefSeq lists it as uncharacterized. Lineage: Eukaryota; Metazoa; Chordata; Mammalia; Primates; Hylobatidae. The record is from RefSeq and is a predicted model, not a curated record.